ACACUGGGGGAUCUGAGAUGGGCGGUGCAAGGGUCAGUGAGUUCUCACUCUGGGUGUCCUCAAUUCACACAAGAGCAGAGAGAGAGUCUUUGAUUUACCAGGCCGCUGCAUGCCUCCGUCCACACCUUCUGCGCUGAAUGUAUUGUGUAUUUGUUUUUUUUUAGGGCAUGACUUGGAAUCCAGGAUGGUGCCAAGUUGAUAAGUGCAGCUCCACCAAGCUACGUGAACAGCCGGUGGCGAAGGUGGUGAGGAAAAACUCCCUAAGAUGUUAAGAGGAAGAAACCUUGAGAGGAACCAGACUCAGAAGGGAACCCUUCCUCAUCUGGUCACUGCUCCUCCCUUCAGCGUCUGCAGAGAGCCAGAAUCACAAUCCUACUACGUCACAGACAAACCAGCACAGCUGCACACA
Ictalurus punctatus (channel catfish) is the source of this 409-nucleotide long non-coding RNA. The record is from Ensembl. Lineage: Eukaryota; Metazoa; Chordata; Actinopteri; Siluriformes; Ictaluridae.